Hemibagrus wyckioides is the source of this 193-nucleotide small nuclear RNA. RefSeq annotates it as U2 spliceosomal RNA. The transcript has a single exon. The record is from RefSeq and is a predicted model, not a curated record. Lineage: Eukaryota; Metazoa; Chordata; Actinopteri; Siluriformes; Bagridae.
AAUGUUACAUUUUGCUAUAGUGUAGUAUCUGUUCUUAUCAGUUUAAUAUCUGAUAUGUCCCCUAUUCAGGGGCUAUAUGUUUAAAUGUAAAUUUAGUUUUUGUAACAGUGAGAUGGAAUAGGGUUUUGCUCAACACAUCAGUCUUGUAUUGUGUCUAUGGAGUUUUGCGAGUCCAUGUUAAUCCAGUUCCCUC